AUGGGGACAACAGUUGGAAACGACUGCUAAUACCCAAUGUGCCGAAAGGUGAAAGAUUUAUCGUCUGAAGAUGGGCUCGCGUCUGAUUAGCUAGAUGGUGGGGUAAGAGCCUACCAUGGCAACGAUCAGUAGCUGGUCUGAGAGGAUGAGCAGCCACACUGGGACUGAGACACGGCCCAGACUCCUACGGGAGGCAGCAGUGGGGAAUUUUCCGCAAUGGGCGAAAGCCUGACGGAGCAAUACCGCGUGAGGGAGGAAGGUCCUUGGAUUGUAAACCUCUUUUAUCAGGGAAGAAGUUCUGACGGUACCUGAUGAAUAAGCAUCGGCUAACUCCGUGCCAGCAGCCGCGGUAAUACGGAGGAUGCAAGCGUUAUCCGGAAUUAUUGGGCGUAAAGCGUCCGUAGGUGGUUAUGCAAGUCUGCCGUUAAAGAAUGGAGCUUAACUCCAUAGGAGCGGUGGAAACUGCAUAGACUAGAGUACAGUAGGGGUAGCAGGAAUUCCCAGUGUAGCGGUGAAAUGCGUAGAUAUUGGGAAGAACACCGGUGGCGAAAGCGCCUUGCUGGGCCAUUACUGACACUGAGGGACGAAAGCUAGGGGAGCGAAUGGGAUUAGAUACCCCAGUAGUCA
This 627-nucleotide ribosomal RNA is filed under the name Synechocystis sp. MW42. Its description in RNAcentral is "bacterial SSU rRNA". It matches the Rfam family "Bacterial small subunit ribosomal RNA", at positions 137 to 796 of the family's 1533-position model. Lineage: Bacteria; Bacillati; Cyanobacteriota; Cyanophyceae; Synechococcales; Merismopediaceae. The record is from RNAcentral.